RNAcentral lists this ribosomal RNA (253 nucleotides) under uncultured bacterium. RNAcentral describes it as "partial 16S ribosomal RNA". It matches the Rfam family "Bacterial small subunit ribosomal RNA", at positions 524 to 776 of the family's 1533-position model. The record is from RNAcentral.
UACGUAGGGGGCGAGCGUUGUCCGGAGUUACUGGGCGUAAAGGGCAUGCAGGCGGUCGGACGCGUUUUGUGUGACAGCGGGUGGCUCAACUACGCGAGCAUACGAAAGACGGUUUGACUUGAGGGCUCGAGAGGGACACGGAAUUCCGGGUGGAGUGGUGAAAUGCGUAGAUAUCGUAAGGAAGACCAGUGGCGAAGGCGGGUCUCUGGACAGUUCCUGACGCUGAGGCACGAAGGUCAGGGGAGCAAACGGG